AGCGCCUUCUUCAAUCCGCCGCGAAAUGGAGCAAAUUGAAAAAGUUAGCUAAUCAUAGCUAUCUUCGAAGCCUCAAUUUUCAGCGAUGCCGACUGGAGAUGCAUCACUUCCUUGUUCUCUCAUCGAGAAGUUGGAUUUUAUUGAUGCAUUAUCAGCAAAA
Ipomoea triloba (trilobed morning glory) is the source of this 160-nucleotide long non-coding RNA. RefSeq lists it as uncharacterized. Lineage: Eukaryota; Viridiplantae; Streptophyta; Magnoliopsida; Solanales; Convolvulaceae. The record is from RefSeq and is a predicted model, not a curated record. The transcript is spliced from 2 exons.